Molecule: ribosomal RNA, 448 nt
Filed under: uncultured bacterium
Lineage: Bacteria
Description: bacterial SSU rRNA
Rfam family: Bacterial small subunit ribosomal RNA
Source: RNAcentral
AACGAACGCUGGCGGCAUGCCUAACACAUGCAAGUCGAACGAGACCUUCGGGUCUAGUGGCGCACGGGUGCGUAACGCGUGGGAAUCUGCCCUGGGGUGCGGAAUAACUCGGAGAAAUCCGUGCUAAUACCGCAUAAUGUCUUCGGACCAAAGAUUUAUCGCCCUGGGAUGAGCCCGCGUAGGAUUAGCUAGUUGGUGGGUAAAGGCCUACCAAGGCGACGAUCCUUAGCUGGUCUGAGAGGAUGAUCAGCCACACUGGGACUGAGACACGGCCCAGACUCCUACGGGAGGCAGCAGUGGGGAAUAUUGGACAAUGGGCGAAAGCCUGAUCCAGCAAUGCCGCGUGAGUGAUGAAGGCCCUAGGGUUGUAAAGCUCUUUUACCCGGGAUGAUAAUGACAGUACCGGGAGAAUAAGCUCCGGCUAACUCCGUGCCAGCAGCCGCGGUAA